AUUGAACGCUGGCGGCAUGCCUUACACAUGCAAGUCGAACGGUAACGGGCCUUCGGGUGCCGACGAGUGGCGAACGGGUGAGUAAUACAUCGGAACGUGCCCGAUCGUGGGGGAUAACGAGGCGAAAGCUUUGCUAAUACCGCAUACGAUCUACGGAUGAAAGCAGGGGACCGCAAGGCCUUGCGCGGACGGAGCGGCCGAUGGCAGAUUAGGUAGUUGGUGGGAUAAAAGCUUACCAAGCCGACGAUCUGUAGCUGGUCUGAGAGGAUGAUCAGCCACACUGGGACUGAGACACGGCCCAGACUCCUACGGGAGGCAGCAGUGGGGAAUUUAGGACAAUGGGCGCAAGCCUGAUCCAGCCAUGCCGCGUGCAGGAUGAAGGCCUUCGGGUUGUAAACUGCUUUUGUACGGAACGAAAAGCCUUCUUUUAAUACAGGAGGGUCAUGACGGUACCGUAAGAAUAAGCACCGGCUAACUACGUG
RNAcentral lists this ribosomal RNA (482 nucleotides) under uncultured bacterium. RNAcentral describes it as "partial 16S ribosomal RNA". It matches the Rfam family "Bacterial small subunit ribosomal RNA", at positions 30 to 507 of the family's 1533-position model. The record is from RNAcentral.